GACGAACGCUGGCGGCGUGCUUAACACAUGCAAGUCGAGCGGUAAGGCCCUUUCGGGGGUACACGAGCGGCGAACGGGUGAGUAACACGUGGGUGACCUGCCCUUAGCUCUGGGAUAAGCCUGGGAAACUGGGUCUAAUACCGGAUAUGACUCCAUGACGCAUGUUGUGGGGUGGAAAGCCUUGUGCGGCUAGGGAUGGGCCCGCGGCCUAUCAGCUUGUUGGUGGGGUGAUGGCCUACCAAGGCGACGACGGGUAGCCGGCCUGAGAGGGCGACCGGCCACACUGGGACUGAGACACGGCCCAGACUCCUACGGGAGGCAGCAGUGGGGAAUCUUGCGCAAUGGGCGAAAGCCUGACGCAGCGACGCCGCGUGGGGAUGACGGCCUCGGUU
RNAcentral lists this ribosomal RNA (392 nucleotides) under uncultured bacterium. RNAcentral's name for it is "bacterial SSU rRNA". It matches the Rfam family "Bacterial small subunit ribosomal RNA", at positions 28 to 424 of the family's 1533-position model. The record is from RNAcentral.